Molecule: long non-coding RNA, 774 nt
Organism: Cyclopterus lumpus (lumpfish)
Lineage: Eukaryota; Metazoa; Chordata; Actinopteri; Perciformes; Cyclopteridae
Exons: 3
Source: RefSeq, a predicted model, not a curated record
ACAUCUGCUUUGGUUGCCUAACGAGGGGACAUAUGAGCAAAACUUGUAAAAGAAGAAUGACUUGCCAAUACUGUCCCUAGUAUACUACUCAUUGACACAUCUGCAAAGAAUGAACCGAAGGAGAGAGGGACCAAUCAGACAAAAGGAUUGAUCAGUGGAACUCCUGUAUCAUUAGAAAAGGAGGAGGAUGUUGGCAAUAGUACCAGUACAAGUAAAAGCUUCCAAAGGCAGCAAAACAAUACUAACCUAUGCAUUUCUUGACCCUGGCAGCACAGCAACAUUCUGGAGACUCUAAUGAGACAACUCAAUGAGACAGGAAGGAAGACUUAAGUGCUUCUGCAAACAAUGGGUCAAAGGAAACCAGUCUGGCUUUCUGGAAGAGAUGGGUCAAGGAAUACCUUCCAAUCAUGCAACAGCGAAAUAAGUGGAAUGAAAUGAAAAGGAACUUUCUACCCGGAGACCUCGUUGUUAUUGUGGAUGAUUCGGCUCCUAGAAACUCCUGGGUUCUAGAAACUCCUGGGUUCUAGGACGGUGCCAGGAAGUAAACUACUCGUCCUAGUUAAAACAAGAACAAUUGUUCUACAGAGACCUAUCAAGAAGCUCUGAGUUUGAAAAGGAUUAUAUGAACUUAAAGAUGACCUUUAUCUAUGGACUCUGAGCAACAUUUUUAAAUUGAAAAAGUACAUGAGGUCGGCCGCCCCCCCACUCAGGUCACAAUCUUUGCUCUCCUGGAAAGGGAACUGGAUUCCUGCCAGUCGGAUCAGCAAGAAAUUG